This 190-nucleotide ribosomal RNA is filed under the name uncultured Staphylococcus sp. RNAcentral's name for it is "partial 16S ribosomal RNA". It matches the Rfam family "Bacterial small subunit ribosomal RNA", at positions 150 to 334 of the family's 1533-position model. The record is from RNAcentral. Lineage: Bacteria; Bacillati; Bacillota; Bacilli; Caryophanales; Staphylococcaceae.
CGGGAAACCGGAGCUAAUACCAGAUAAUAUAUUGAACCGCAUGGUUCAAUAGUGAAAGACGGUUUUGCUGUCACUUAUAGAUGGAUCCACGCCGCAUUAGCUAGUUGGUAAGGUAACGGCUUACCAAGGCAACGAUGCGUAGCCGACCUGAGAGGGUGAUCGGCCACACUGGAACUGAGACACGGUCCAG